Long non-coding RNA from Prosopis cineraria, 410 nucleotides. RefSeq lists it as uncharacterized. The transcript has 2 exons. Lineage: Eukaryota; Viridiplantae; Streptophyta; Magnoliopsida; Fabales; Fabaceae. The record is from RefSeq and is a predicted model, not a curated record.
GUUUGGGUUGCUGAGUCGUUAUGUUACUAUUCUCUGUUGAAGUGCAGAACUCGAGAUUCCAGAAGCAGAGAAGAUGAGGAUGUUCGGUAAACAUGUAUUUCCAGGCCAAAUCGUGCUCUUCGCCUCAGGGGUUCUGUUCUUGGCAUCGACGACGUACGACGUGCACAGAUCAAUAAAGAACAAUCAAACCCCUCCUUCCAAGGAGCAAGUGGAGGCCUUAGAAGAGUACAUCAGGUCGCGGCGUCGUUCUCCUUAAUUGUGAAUUCUUCCUCCUCUCUGGGUCUCCCUGUCAUUUGACUCUGUUUCUCAAUGCAAUAUUUGCAACGUUGUUAUUUUGUUUCCGUCAGUAACUUAAUUCAUCUAAAUAUGAAUAACACGAGUUCAUUAUAUGAUAGUUCGGUUUGUAUAAA